UUAUUAUUAUUAUUAUUAUUAUUAUUAUUAUUAUUAUUGAGGGUGUUGCUUUUAUUUUGCCUAGUAUAAUGUUUUUCCUAUCCUGUUAGAUUUUUUUUAUUAUAGAAUCUUAUUAGACUUAAUUUAUGUUCCAAACCAAAGUUGAACUUUUGCUUGACCAGAGAAGCUAUGUAAUACGUGUUUAUUGAAUUGAAUUGACAAUUGAAUUUUUCAAUAACUAAUACAUUUCCAUUAGUUGGCUUAUAAAAUUAUUUCCAGAAGGGCAGAUCCCUGAGUGAAUAUUAUACAAGGUAAAGGAGUUUUGAUGAGGAAGGAAAAACUUUCUUGAAUGAGAUGUGUUUUAGCAAACACAGGAUUUAGUAGGUGCCCUUAGCAAUCCAGAAGCUGUAUUACCAUAAUGAAAAGUAAUGCCAGGGAAAGGAUGCAAAGAGAAAGAAGGUGAAAGACACUUUAAGGUUAUCCUACAUUUGGUGUGGAAGUCUUGGUUAUAUAUAAAUCUAGUCUAAAUUUCUCAUGAAACCCCACGUCCUGCAUCUUUCUUUUUUUUUUUGCAAAUAAUAGAGUAGGAGGUAUCCAUUUUUUCUUUUAUAACGCUGCAAUUAUUUUCAAGUUUUUCUUUUUCUUUUCUCUCUUUCUUUUUAUUUUUUAUUUUUUAUUUUUUUGUCUUUUUGCCAUUUCUUGGGCUGCUCCCUCAGUAUAUGGAGGUUCCCAGGCUAGGGGUUGAAUCGGAGCUGUAGCCACCGGCCUACACCAGAGUCACAGCAACAAGGGAUCCGAGCCAUGUCUGCAGUCUAUACCACAGCUCAUGGCAAUGCCGGAUCCUUAACCCACUGAGCAAGGCCAGGGAUCGAACCCGCAACCUCCUGAUUCCUAGUCGGAUUUGUUAACCACUGAGCCACGACAGGAAGUCCGGUUUUUCUAUUUUAAUCAUGUUACAGUGUACAAUUCAGUGGUGUUAACUGUAUUCACAAUGCUGUGUUAACCAUCACCCCUAUCUAGUUCCAGAACAUUUUCAUCACCCCAAACAGACACUUCCUAUCCAUAAGCAGCCACUCCAUAUUUGCCCUCCUGACAGUACCUGGCAAAGGCUCUUCUAUUUUCUGUCUCCAUAAAUUUAACUAUUUUGGAUAUUUCAGAUGAAUCUAACCUCACAAUUUGUAGCCCUUGUGUCUGGCUUUUUUUAGCUUAGCAUGUUUCUUGAUUUGUCCAUGUUGUAGCAUGUAGUAGUAUUUUAUUCCUUUUUGUGAAUGAAUAAUAUUCCCCUGUAUGGAUGUAGCACAUUUUGCUUAUCCAUGAAUCCAUUGAUAGGGAUUUGGUUUGUUUUCACCUUUUGGUUAUUUUAGUGGUGGUGCUAUGCACAUUUGUGUACAAUUUUUUGUUUGAACACCCAUUUUCCAUCCUUUUGAAUAGAGGAGGGGAACUGGUAAGUUCAUAUAACAGUUCUAGCUUUAAUUUGUUGGAGAACUGCCAAUUGUUCUCCACAGCAGCUGAUCCAUUUUAUGUUCGCAUGAGCAAUGAAUGAGGGUUCCAGAUUUUCUAUAUCUUUGUUAACAUUUGUUUUCUUUUUCUUUAAGAUAACCAAAACAGUGGGUGUAAAUAGUGUCUCACUGUGGUUUUGAUUUGUACUUCCCUCAUAUGCAUCUCUUCAUACUUUGAUUUACACUUCCUACAUGGUCAUGGUGUCUCACUGUGGUUUUGAUUUACACUUCCCUCAUGAAGUCCCUCAUGUGCUUAUCUCCUCAUGUUUUGAUUUACACUUUCCACAUCACUUCUCAUGUGCCUCUCUUCCUAUGCUUGUUGGCCAAGACUAUAUCUGUUUUCGAGAAAGGCCUAUUUAAAUCCUUAAACCAUUUUUUUUUUCCAUUGGACUGUUUUUGAAUUUAGGAGUUGCAGAAAUCCUUAGGCCCUUGCCAUACAAAUGAUUUAUAAAUGUUUUCUCCCAUUCUUUGGGUUUUGUUUUCACUUUCUUGAUAGUGUCAUUGUUUUUCCCUUGUCAUGGGCACACCUGCAGCAUAUGGAAGUUCCUGGGUCAGGGGUCAAAUCAGAGCUGCAGUGAGACCUACACCACAGCCACAGCUACUGGAUCUAAGCAGCAUCUGUGACCCUUGCUGUGGCUUACAGCAAUGCCAGAUCCUUAACCCACUGAGCCAGGCCAGGGAUUGAACCUGCAUCCUCACAGAAAACAUGGGGUCCUUAACUUGCUAAGCCACAACAGGAACUCCUUGAUAGCGUACUUUGAUGCACAUUUUUUUUUUUAUUUUGAUGAAGUAUAAUUUAUCUUUUUUUUUCUAAUAUUAAAUCUAUGUUUCAUUUCUAGCUAAUAAUUGUCAAAGAUGUAUGGUCUAUGUCUAGGUACUUUUUGCUUUGCAUGGAACAUUUCCAACUAUUCCAGUACUCUCUGUUGAAAAGUCUAUCCUUUUUCCAUUAUUUGAUCUUUGCUCUUUUGUCAAAGAUCAGUUGACUAUAUUUGUGUAAGUCUAUUUGUGGGCUCUCUAUUCUGUUCAGUUUACCUUUGCGUUUCUUUUUUUCUUUAAUAGCAUGCUCUCUUGAUAACUGGAGCCAAAGAACAAACUAUGGUAUCAGGUAGUGUGAAUUAUCCAAGAGUCAUCUCCUUCCCCUUCCUUUCCUCCUGCUCUGCUUACUCUUCCUCCCCUCCCAGUAUUUUGUUGGCUAGUCUAGGUCCUUCCUCUUUUUGUAUACAUUUUAGAAUCUGUUUGAUAAUACAUACAAAAUAGCUUACUUGGAUUUUGAUUAGGAUUUCUUUGAAUCUACAGAUUAUAUGGGGACCACUGGCAUCUUAACAAUUUCGAGUCUAAUCCAUGAAAGUAAAAUAUUUAUAUAUACACAUAUAUAUACAUAUGUGAGAUCUUUUUUAUUGUUCAUGUUCUGUAGUCUUCCAUAGGCAGUACAUACCUUGUUAGGUUUAUACCUAUGUAUUUCAUUUUGAGGGGUAUUAUUGGAAACUCUAUUUUAAAUAUUUCAAAUUAUAGACAGUACCAUCUAAAUACACUGACUACACAACAUAGAGCUUUUUAUAUAGCAGCCAUUAAAUAAAUGGUAGCUAUUACUAUUUUGCAUAGGAAACUAUAAUUAAAUAAUUAAAUAGUAGAAUAUAGAUGGACAGUGAGAAAAAUAAUUGUCAGAGAAAUCAGAUUAUUUAUCAGACUGUUUGAAUUAUUUUUAUAACAAAUAGGUAUAUUCUAUAUUUUCUAUAACCAAACUGAUAGGAACUUUAAACUUAGCAGAAAAAUCAGUCUGUUAAAAUUAUGGAUGAAUUAGUCUGACAAAUAUGUUGGGCUUGGUAGUAAGACACAAAACUUAUUUCUAGUGAUUAUUAUACACUAAAAAAUACUUAAUUCUUAAACAGUAUGUUUAAAGAGAUUGUGAGGAAAGUAAUUUUCUUUUAUCAAAUAAUAUCGUUAUUAUAAAAUCUACCAUGGAUAAUAUCAAAGAAAAAAAUACCUAUACCAGAGGGAGUUCACUUAGAAAGAACUAACAGUUUGCCCACCACACAAAAUAGAAGUGGAUGGCCCUGACUUAACAUUUGUUUCAACUCAAUGAUACAGUUUGAUUUGUGAACACAAUGAUGUUGUUGUUAUGGCAGAGACUGUUUGGAAGACUGGAAAGAAUCAUAGAAAUAAAAUGACAUGAAAAACCUAGGAUGUGGUCACCAAAUUCAAUAAUCAUUAAUUCUGAGUUUUGAUAAGUACAAUUCUGAAAUCCUAAACCCACUAGGCUGUCUCUCCCAUGAAACAUCCUAUUGAUUCAUGGAAAUUCAUGAGUCAUGUACAUCACCUAUGUUGCUACUGGGAGGCCCAUUGUUGUUCUCCGCCUACCUUUUUAACUUCUGUUACUAUUGCCACAGAAGGUGCGAAUACUAAACUAGCUUCUACCAUAUUGAUUUUCUUUCAACAUUAUUACACGACUUCCAUUACUUUCCCAAUGAAUAUCUACUUUCUUCAAAUACUACAAUUUCUCUCAAAUAAUUUGGCAGGCUACACUGACAUUCUUGGAUAUCCAUUCAUUGUAAUAAGUUCUGCUUAUAUGACAAAUUCCUUUUCCUAUAGGCUAAAUUCUGACUCAUAGUCUCUAUUUUUAGAAUUUACCAUGUUACAUAGUUCAGGGUAUAAAGUAAAAGCUCAUACUCAGGGUAUAAAGAAAAAUCUUCUUUGAAAUAAAAUUGACAAAUGAGGCAUUUGCCAUCUUUCUUAUCUUAUUGUCUUCAUCAGACAUUUGAAGCUAUAGACCAUCUUACAAAAUAUAGAGCAUGAAAUAAUGCCAAGGGAUUUCCAAAGAUACCAGCCAUAAAUCAAUGCCUGACUGAAGUCAACUAUCUCCAGACUUCUCUUUAUGGGGAAAAAUAAACUUCUAACUACUUUAAGUUUUUUGUUACAUGCAUAUGACAGCAAUCCUAAUCCAGUUACUUUUACACAGAGUUUAAGUGGAGUAGUGUUGCCUGAGUCUAGGCCCUUGGAGUACUGGUGCUUUGUUAUUAAUAUCAAUAUGACCUCCAGGAAGUCUCAUUGUUCUUGUCCAAAAGAAGCCUGUUUUAAUUUUCCAGAUUGAAUAUAUGAGAUCAAUUGUAAUAAUUCAAUUAUUAAAGAUGGUCUAAUCUAUUUAUAAAGAAUCUGUUAUGAAAUUUAUGGAGACAGCUUCAGUUUGCUCAAUUUUUGGAUCUUUGUUUCUCUGUUGCCUGAAUUUUGACCAUCACCACCAAAGGCUGUAUCAUCAGUAAUUUUUAUUAAAAAAAUAUUGGUAUUGGUGAUGUUUAGAAUAGUUUCUUAUGACAAAGUAAACACUGCAAAUUGUUAACAAGUAAUUUAUGAAUAUAUAAAUAUCAUAUAAAAUGUAUAUGUUCUAAUGUAAGACAAAAAUGGAUGUUAUAUAUUAAUAAAGAUAAAAAAUGUGAUAGGUGGAUAUAUUGACAGACACCCAUGAUUUAAACUUAUAUGUUGACCAAAAACAGGCCGAAAAAGAGGCUCUAUACAGAGACAUUAUGGAAGAUUUUCUUCAUUCUGCUUUAUACUUCAUCUAUAUUUCUAGUUUU
RNAcentral lists this long non-coding RNA (5047 nucleotides) under Sus scrofa (pig). Its description in RNAcentral is "lncRNA (ENSSSCG00025047305.1)". Lineage: Eukaryota; Metazoa; Chordata; Mammalia; Artiodactyla; Suidae. The record is from RNAcentral.